RNAcentral lists this ribosomal RNA (253 nucleotides) under uncultured bacterium. RNAcentral's name for it is "partial 16S ribosomal RNA". It matches the Rfam family "Bacterial small subunit ribosomal RNA", at positions 524 to 776 of the family's 1533-position model. The record is from RNAcentral.
UACAGAGGUGGCAAGCGUUGUUCGGAAUUACUGGGCGUAAAGGGCGCGUAGGCGGUCUUGUAAGUCUUGUGUGAAAUCCCUCGGCUUAACUGAGGAACUGCACGGGAUACUGCGAGACUUGAGAUCGGGAGAGGGAAGCGGAAUUCCGGGUGUAGUGGUGAAAUGCGUAGAGAUCCGGAGGAACACCAGUGGCGAAGGCGACACGCUGGGCCGUACCUGACACUGAUGCGCGACAGCAUGGGGAGCAAACAGG